AAAGUCGUAACAAGGUUUCCGUAGGUGAACCUGCGGAAGGAUCAUUACCUGGCCUUGGGCCGCUCGCGGGAGCUAGUCGCUUGCGACGACGCUGCCGAGGGUGCUUAGCCCUUGACUUAUCACCUUGACUAUGUGCACCUUUUGUUGUUUCCUCGGCAGGUCAUCUGCCGCCAGGAACCCUCUAAACCUUUUUGCAAACAGCAUCCAAACUUCUGAAAACAAAACAAAUUAUUUACAACUUUUAACAAUGGAUCUCUUGGUUCUG
Molecule: unclassified non-coding RNA, 265 nt
Filed under: Ascomycota sp.
Lineage: Eukaryota; Fungi; Ascomycota
Description: partial contains small subunit ribosomal RNA, internal transcribed spacer 1, and 5.8S ribosomal RNA
Rfam family: Eukaryotic small subunit ribosomal RNA (bases 1-47)
Source: RNAcentral